GAUGAAGAACGCAGCGAAAUGCGAUAAGUAAUGUGAAUUGCAGAAUUCAGUGAAUCAUCGAAUCUUUGAACGCACAUUGCGCCCUCUGGUAUUCCGGGGGGCAUGCCUGUUCGAGCGUCAUUAUAACCACUCAAGCUCUCGCUUGGUAUUGGGGUUCGCGGUUCCGCGGCCCCUAAAAUCAGUGGCGGUGCCUGUCGGCUCUACGCGUAGUAAUACUCCUCGCGAUUGAGUCCGGUAGGUCUACUUGCCAGCAACCCCCAAUUUUUACAGGUUGACCUCGGAGCAGGUAGGGAUACCCGCUGAACUUAAGCAUAUCAAUAAGCGGAGGA
This 329-nucleotide unclassified non-coding RNA is filed under the name soil metagenome. Its description in RNAcentral is "partial contains 5.8S ribosomal RNA, internal transcribed spacer 2, and large subunit ribosomal RNA". The stretch from base 1 to 120 matches the Rfam family "5.8S ribosomal RNA", at positions 35 to 154 of the family's 154-position model. The record is from RNAcentral.